AUUUUUUAUUUUCUUUGUCUAAAGGCUUAAACACAAGCAACUUGGUUAUAUCUGGAGUCUGAAAUCUGACCACCUUUUCCCUGAGAUGUAAAGAGGUCAUCAAUGAUGACUUGCCUGUUGGAGAGAUCCUGGAGCGCUGGCCUGCCCUAAAGAUGGAGUCACAGAUCUGUGCAAAGUUUCACAGCAUUACAAACAUCUACCUGAAAAACCACUUCUAUGCUGAGUUAGACAGACUUGUCUUGAGGGUUUGUUCAGGAAAGCUGCACGCACAGGGAAGGUAUCCGAAGUCCUGGAUCAGCUCUUCAACACUUAUGACCUCCAGGAACAAGUUGACGUCAAUGUCCAACGUGCUGCUGUCCUCCGUGCUCUCCCUACAUGUAUCUGUAUGAGGAUGACUCCAGGUUUCUGAAGCUGUUGGAUGUGGCCCUGUCAGAUGAAUGCAAAUCGACAUAUCAGCCGGGCUCCUCAUGAUCAGUGCCACUUCAACAGAUGAACCAGAUCUUCUGCCCCGAGAAGGUUGCAGUUGUGCUUGAGGGUAACACAGUUGUCGAUUUCCCCACAUUUUCUGACGCAUUUGUCAUACUUUU
This is a long non-coding RNA of Labrus mixtus (cuckoo wrasse), 587 nucleotides long. RefSeq lists it as uncharacterized. The record is from RefSeq and is a predicted model, not a curated record. Lineage: Eukaryota; Metazoa; Chordata; Actinopteri; Labriformes; Labridae. The transcript is spliced from 5 exons.